CGCNAGGGGGAGCGAAUCUCACAAAUUUCACCUCAGUUCGGAUUGCAGUCUGCAACUCGACUGCAUGAAGCUGGAAUCGCUAGUAAUCGCAGAUCAGCACGCUGCGGUGAAUACGUUCCCGGGUCUUG
This 128-nucleotide ribosomal RNA is filed under the name uncultured bacterium. RNAcentral describes it as "16S ribosomal RNA". It matches the Rfam family "Bacterial small subunit ribosomal RNA", at positions 1256 to 1383 of the family's 1533-position model. The record is from RNAcentral.